This 1343-nucleotide ribosomal RNA is filed under the name uncultured bacterium. RNAcentral describes it as "16S ribosomal RNA". It matches the Rfam family "Bacterial small subunit ribosomal RNA", at positions 28 to 1378 of the family's 1533-position model. The record is from RNAcentral.
GACGAACGCUGGCGUCGUGCUUAACACAUGCAAGUCGAACGGAAAGGCCCUGCUUUUGUGGGGUGCUCGAGUGGCGAACGGGUGAGUAACACGUGAGUAACCUGCCCUUGACUUUGGGAUAACUUCAGGAAACUGGGGCUAAUACCGGAUAGGAGCUCCUGCUGCAUGGUGGGGGUUGGAAAGUUUCGGCGGUUGGGGAUGGACUCGCGGCUUAUCAGCUUGUUGGUGGGGUAGUGGCUUACCAAGGCUUUGACGGGUAGCCGGCCUGAGAGGGUGACCGGCCACAUUGGGACUGAGAUACGGCCCAGACUCCUACGGGAGGCAGCAGUGGGGAAUAUUGCACAAUGGGCGGAAGCCUGAUGCAGCAACGCCGCGUGCGGGAUGACGGCCUUCGGGUUGUAAACCGCUUUCGCCUGUGACGAAGCGUGAGUGACGGUAAUGGGUAAAGAAGCACCGGCUAACUACGUGCCAGCAGCCGCGGUGAUACGUAGGGUGCGAGCGUUGUCCGGAUUUAUUGGGCGUAAAGGGCUCGUAGGUGGUUGAUCGCGUCGGAAGUGUAAUCUUGGGGCUUAACCCUGAGCGUGCUUUCGAUACGGGUUGACUUGAGGAAGGUAGGGGAGAAUGGAGUUCCUGGUGGAGCGGUGGAAUGCGCAGAUAUCAGGAGGAACACCAGUGGCGAAGGCGGUUCUCUGGGCCUUUCCUGACGCUGAGGAGCGAAAGCGUGGGGAGCGAACAGGCUUAGAUACCCUGGUAGUCCACGCUGUAAACGGUGGGUACUAGGUGUGGGGUCCAUUCCACGGGUUCCGUGCCGUAGCUAACGCUUUAAGUACCCCGCCUGGGGAGUACGGCCGCAAGGCUAAAACUCAAAGGAAUUGACGGGGCCCCGCACAAGCGGCGGAGCAUGCGGAUUAAUUCGAUGCAACGCGUAGAACCUUACCUGGGUUUGACAUGGAUCGGGAGCGCUCAGAGAUGGGUGUGCCUCUUUUGGGGUCGGUUCACAGGUGGUGCAUGGCUGUCGUCAGCUCGUGUCGUGAGAUGUUGGGUUAAGUCCCGCAACGAGCGCAACCCUUGUUCACUGUUGCCAGCACGUUAUGGUGGGGACUCAGUGGAGACCGCCGGGGUCAACUCGGAGGAAGGUGGGGAUGACGUCAAGUCAUCAUGCCCCUUAUGUCCAGGGCUUCACGCAUGCUACAAUGGCUGGUACAGAGAGUGGCGAGCCUGUGAGGGUGAGCGAAUCUCGGAAAGCCGGUCUCAGUUCGGAUUGGGGUCUGCAACUCGACCUCAUGAAGUCGGAGUCGCUAGUAAUCGCAGAUCAGCAACGCUGCGGUGAAUACGUUCCCGGG